AGAGUUUGAUCCUGGCUCAGGACGAACGCUGGCGGCGUGCUUAACACAUGCAAGUCGAGCGAGAGCCUGGGGGCUUGCCCCCAGGGGACAGCGGCGAACGGGUGCGUAACACGUGGGCAACCUGCCCCUCUCUCUGGGAUAACCCCGGGAAACCGGAGCUAAUACCGGAUACUCCGGCUGGAUCGCAUGGUCCGGCCGGGAAAGGUCCGCCGGAGAGGGAUGGGCCCGCGGCCUAUCAGCUUGUUGGUGGGGUCAUGGCUCACCAAGGCGACGACGGGUAGCUGGUCUGAGAGGACGACCAGCCACACUGGAACUGAGAUACGGUCCAGACUCCUACGGGAGGCAGCAGUGGGGAAUAUUGCGCAAUGGGCGAAAGCCUGACGCAGCGACGCCGCGUGGGGGAUGAAUGCCUUCGGGUUGUAAACCCCUUUCGGCAGGGACGAAGCGAUCGUGACGGUACCUGCAGAAGAAGUCCCGGCUAACUACGUGCCAGCAGCCGCGGUAAGACGUAGGGGACGAGCGUUGUCCGGAUUCAUUGGGCGUAAAGCGCGCGUAGGCGGUUGCGCAAGUCGGUUGUGAAAAUCCGGGGCUCAACCCCGGACCUGCAUCCGAUACUGCGUGACUAGAGGUAGGUAGGGGAGAUCGGAAUUCCUGGUGUAGCGGUGAAAUGCGCAGAUAUCAGGAGGAACACCGGUGGCGAAGGCGGAUCUCUGGGCCUUACCUGACGCUCAGGCGCGAAAGCUAGGGGAGCGAACAGGAUUAGAUACCCUGGUAGUCCUAGCCGUAAACGUUGGAUGCUAGGUGUGGGGGGACAUCGACCCCUUCCGUGCCGAAGCUAACGCAUUAAGCAUCCCGCCUGGGGAGUACGGCCGCAAGGCUAAAACUCAAAGGAAUUGACGG
This 900-nucleotide ribosomal RNA is filed under the name uncultured bacterium. Its description in RNAcentral is "bacterial SSU rRNA". It matches the Rfam family "Bacterial small subunit ribosomal RNA", at positions 8 to 916 of the family's 1533-position model. The record is from RNAcentral.